Molecule: long non-coding RNA, 314 nt
Filed under: Camarhynchus parvulus
Lineage: Eukaryota; Metazoa; Chordata; Aves; Passeriformes; Thraupidae
Description: lncRNA (ENSCPVG00000002127.2)
Source: RNAcentral
ACUGCCCUAGGAGCCAGAGCAUCUGUGGCAUUUCGUUAGUCUUCAGUAAAGAUCUUCAGUGAGUUACCUACCAUGGGAGUCAGGAUAUCAGCAGCCUCCAAAGUCUGUAAAGGGUUGAGGAGCACAUCUGUUAUGGCAUUUGUCCCUAUGCAGAGAGUCAGUGAAGACAACUGAAACCCUUACAUCACAUUUUUGUGGUCUAUAAAGCUCAUUAAAUAUGAAGCCAUUCCUGUGGGUUUCAGUUAGAACCAGAUUCCAAGAGCACUGAAUGAAAAUAAAAAUUUUACGAUUAUAGAUUUCAUAAAGUUUUUAUU